GACAACGCUGGCGGCGUGCUUCAUACAUGCAAGUCGAACGAGAAUCUGUAGCUUGCUACAGAGGAAAGUGGCGGACGGGUGAGUAAUGUGUAGAGAAUCUGCCCUAGAGUGGGGGAUAGCAGUUGGAAACGACUAUUAAUACCCCAUAUGCGCGUAGCUGAGAUGCUAUUCGUGAAAACUCCGGUGCUCUGGGAUGAGUCUGCAUCUGAUUAGCUAGUUGGCGGUGUAAUGGACCACCAAGGCGACGAUCAGUAGCUGGUUUGAGAGGAUGAUCAGCCACAAUGGGACUGAGACACGGCCCAUACUCC
This 308-nucleotide ribosomal RNA is filed under the name uncultured cyanobacterium. RNAcentral describes it as "bacterial SSU rRNA". It matches the Rfam family "Bacterial small subunit ribosomal RNA", at positions 32 to 339 of the family's 1533-position model. Lineage: Bacteria; Bacillati; Cyanobacteriota. The record is from RNAcentral.